UAGCGGCGAGUGAGCGGCAGAGCUCAGAUUUGAAAUCGUGUUUCGGCACGAGUUGUAGAGUGUAGGCGGGAGUCUCUGUGGAGCGCGGUGUCCAAGUCCCUUGGAACAGGGUGCCUGAGAGGGUGAGAGCCCCGUAGGGUGCUGCGCGAAGCUUUUGAGGCCCUGCUGACGAGUCGAGUUGUUUGGGAAUGCAGCUCCAAGCGGGUGGUAAAUUCCAUCUAAGGCUAAAUAUUGGCGAGAGACCGAUAGCGAACAAGUACUGUGAAGGAAAGAUGAAAAGCACUUUGAAAAGAGAGUGAAACAGCACGUGAAAUUGUUGAAAGGGAAGGGUAUUGGGCUCGACAUGGGGGGUGCGCACCGCUGUCUCUUGUAGGCGGCGCUCUGGGCGCCCUCUGGGCCAGCAUCGGUUCCUGCUGCGGGAGAAGGGGCUCCGGAAAGUGGCUCUUCGGAGUGUUAUAGCCGGGGCCAGAUGCCGCGUGUGGGGACCGAGGACUGCGGCUUCUGUCUCGGAUGCUGGCAUAACGGCGCAAUACCGCCCGUCUU
RNAcentral lists this ribosomal RNA (543 nucleotides) under Pichia sp. S433Y13. RNAcentral's name for it is "eukaryotic LSU rRNA". It matches the Rfam family "Eukaryotic large subunit ribosomal RNA", at positions 84 to 655 of the family's 3401-position model. Lineage: Eukaryota; Fungi; Ascomycota; Pichiomycetes; Pichiales; Pichiaceae. The record is from RNAcentral.